UUGAGUCUUAGAUGAGUG
RNAcentral lists this microRNA (18 nucleotides) under Mus musculus (house mouse). RNAcentral describes it as "mmu-miR-12204-5p". Lineage: Eukaryota; Metazoa; Chordata; Mammalia; Rodentia; Muridae. The record is from miRBase by way of RNAcentral.